CCCCAUAAACCACAAAUUGGGGGUCUACAGGAGAAUCCAAAGCUCUCCCAAGUCCUUCUGCAGAGACUGCGUGCGAGGACUCAAACCAACCAACCGCCCACCUACUUUAAACAGUUGGUCCUGCGUCACAGCAGGUGGACAGAAGGCUGUUUCGGAGGGCCCUGGCUUGGGGUGGUGGACGGAGAAAGCUCAGUAUUUACCUCUCCCAGGAGCAGGAUGCUAUGGACAGGCAACACAAAGCCCUGAGAACCUGGUUCUGCAUUGUUCCUCCAUACCACCUGCUUCGUGUUUCCCGAACUUAUUUCCUACCAUUCUCUCCUGAGAAAAAACAAAGCAGCCGCUUCUUACGCUACAUGAUAAAGGUACAGAGAGACGGAUCCACUCACUGCCCGCUUUGCUCCCCCUCGGAACUCACCCUUCACCCUAAAAUGAUGAUGAGAAGAGGCAAAACGCAGCCCGUGUCCAAAUCUCGGGGCACGUGCCAACCCAAAUGGUGUCUUCCAGCAAACCAACAGAAGGGGGGAAAAACUCCACUCGAGGUAAUCAAGACAUGUUACCAUGUCCUCGGGGGGGGGCAACAUCCAGACGAAUAAGUGGCUACGGUGACACGGUAGAUAAUACCACUUGAGAGUAUCAGUACUUGUCCCGACAGAAGGCAGAUUUGAGAAGGCAAAAAAAGCGGUCAAAGGCUGUUUUUAAACAUUGCCGAGUGCAACAUCUGUCAAACAAAUUCAAGUGAUCCCUCUAAAACGUAAAAAAAAAAAUAAAUAAAUCUGGCUUAAUGACUGCAAGGCUCUUCAAGAACCGAAAGCGGGAAUUUGAUGUCCACAUAUUCUACAGAACUGCCUUUCCUUCCAGACUACGAGG
Long non-coding RNA from Scleropages formosus (Asian bonytongue), 867 nucleotides. RefSeq lists it as uncharacterized. NCBI's taxonomy places the organism in Eukaryota, Metazoa, Chordata, Actinopteri, Osteoglossiformes, Osteoglossidae. The record is from RefSeq and is a predicted model, not a curated record. The transcript has 3 exons.